GAGAAGCUGUGAGGCGACUUGGUUGGCAGUGUUUGCCUCUGUCUCAAGCAGUGGGAGAGAUGUGCGUAACAUGCAGCGGAGAGCGGUGAUCAUCAUCUGCUCGCCGCAACGCCGUGGACCGCCGUGCGCACUCGAAGAGGGAGACACAUCGAGGGGCGCAGCCCGCUUUGCCGAACCUGUCGUGAGCGACACUCUGGCAAGAGACUCUUGAAGAAAAGAAGUGAUGUGAGGAAAGAUGCCAGCCGUUCAGACGGGCAUUUGGGGUUAAUCGCCCCUCUGUUUGGAAAGCACAUUGACGCACCGGCGGCGAAGCAAGUGCGCUUUUUUUUUUUUUUGUUGUUGUUUCACGGAAUCCCACCCUUCUCGGUCACAUCUAAACCGGACUAUCAAGUGGGGAUUUUGGAUGAAAGCUGAAUUAUAUGGCCAACCGAAAAUGAGUCAGUGCGUGUCUGUGAGCUGAGGUGGAGUGUCUCUCUCCCGCUUGCAAGGCUGUCUCGGUCCGCCACAAACCUUCCCACGCCAGGAUGCAGCUGCUCAGAGUUGCGUGGGCACUGACCGGAGCGGCGAUCUGCUGCUUUCUCAUUCUCCUUAUUCACUCCCGCCUGCUCAAAGAAGGCCAGCUGGCAGCGGGGACAUGUGAGAUUGUGACGCUGGACAGGGACAGCAGCCAACCACGGCGGACCAUCGCCAGGCAGACGGCCCGCUGCGCCUGUAAGAAGGGCCAGAUCGCUGGAACUACAAGAGCUAGACCCGCCUGUGUGGACGCUGGUAUUGUUCGGAAAAAGCAGUGGUGUGAGAUGGUGCCAUGUUUGGAGGAUGAAGGUUGUGACCUGUUAGUCAAUAGAUCUGGCUGGACUUGUACACAGCCUGGAGGCCGUGUUAAAACCACCACGGCCCUAUGACGUGACAAGAGUCCCCCUCGACACUCUUGCACUAUGGAGAGCAUUGAUGACCCCUUGACAGACAGCCAAAAUCCAGCUACCAACACCACCACCACCACCAUUACAACAGCUCCACCCAUACCUCGGUCCCGCAAAGGCAGGAAGCAACACAAGCAGCUACAGAGCACCAAGGGCCUUGUGGAGGCAGUAAGGUCUCGUAACACAGCCAGAGACGGGAAAACCAGGGAGUGACUGUUUGAGGGAGUCAGCUCUCCCCACAACACUGGACAAACAUGCUAUAAAACACUUCCUGUUUCCUGUGACUGGCCACUGCGGGUUUCUGACUGCUCCCUCCUGCUAUCUGUCGUUGGGUCAACACGUUGCGUCCACCUCCUCUCCACUGUAUCUGCCUGCUCUGUGCAUUUAGCAGCACAUGCUCAUGCCACGGAGGUUUGGACACCUUAAAAAUCCCAUGAAUGGUUUUUUGCCUCAUUGGAAGUCCACUGUUUGGAGCUGCUAACUGCUUUUAAUAUGGGAUUUCCCACAUCUCUCUCCUAGACUCUAGUGCCGGAGUUCCAGAGCAUAGACAGGAUCAUUACCGAACACUCCGUGAUGCUUCUCGGACCAUCUUGCAAGGCCGUAAAAACAAACUGAGCGCACUCUGCUGUGAAUAGGCCUUCUGCUGGAGUAAACCUCCCAUAUUUUUAUAGACCAAAGAGCAAAACAACAAAUAUGAUCAUUAUGACAGAGAGGACCAUCUGGCAAAGACACACAGAAACUUCGUUAACAUGCUUUGUGUGUCACCACCGACCAACGACUGCCCCCACAGAGACUCGGUGCACAAGCAGACCGACGCAAAACAAACACUUGCAGCCGGUGGCAUAUGUGCCGAACACAAUCAAAGGAGUACUUUUAAAACUUUGCAGACAUUUUUUUUCUCAGACUAAGCUCACCACUGUAUUUUGGAACUGGACAUAUAGGUACUACAUACGUAUAACUGUGUAUCAAAAAAAGAAAAAAAAGAAAAAAAAUCCGAUUUGCAUUUUUCAGUAGCUAAAGUUGGGACAGGAAGAAUUGUUGUGUUGAUCAUGGAUGCAGAGAGCAAAUCAUAUCAGAGAAAUGAUAAAUAUCUACAGAGAGUAUUAAAUGCUGUUAAGUCUGAAAAGAAGGAGUAAAGAAAUGUCAUUAAAUGUAUUUUGAAAGGCCCUAAAAAGUUAUAUAUUUAACAGUUUUAUAUGUUGUACCUUUGUAGAGAAGCUUAUUGGACUUAAAAUGUGAUCACAAUGGCAGUUUAGUAGGAUGUGAACAAAUGCUGUUGUUCUCAUCACUGCUGGCUCGUAGUCCCAGGUUUUCCGUUCACACCUCAGUAGCCGCUUUCUUUUCAUGGUCAUCUUACAAGUCACUGUCUAUCAGAACCAUUAAUGAAAAAAAAGGAAAGUGACACAAUUUAUUAAGGACUGAUGUGCAGCCAACCGAACAUUGUAAAUCUAUGGUAGUCAGUGGAAGCCAUUGAAAUCUGCUAAUUUGCUAUGAUAUUGUAUUGUACACGGUGUGGAAUACUGACUCAUUUCCUCUC
Molecule: RNA transcript, 2457 nt
Organism: Archocentrus centrarchus (flier cichlid)
Lineage: Eukaryota; Metazoa; Chordata; Actinopteri; Cichliformes; Cichlidae
Gene name: chemokine-like protein TAFA-5
Exons: 5
Source: RefSeq, a predicted model, not a curated record